RNAcentral lists this ribosomal RNA (279 nucleotides) under uncultured bacterium. RNAcentral's name for it is "partial 16S ribosomal RNA". It matches the Rfam family "Bacterial small subunit ribosomal RNA", at positions 506 to 784 of the family's 1533-position model. The record is from RNAcentral.
UGCCAGCCGCCGCGGUAAGACGAAGGUGGCAAGCGUUGUUCGGAAUCACUGGGCAUAAAGCGCGCGUAGGCGGUCGGCUAAGUUGGAUGUGAAAUCCCUCGGCCUAACCGAGGAACUGCGUCCAAUACUGGCGGACUUGAGGGUUGGAGAGGUGUAUGGAAUUCCUGGUGGAGCGGUGAAAUGCGUUGAUAUCAGGAGGAACACCGGAGGCGAAGGCGAUACACUGGCCAACUUCUGACGCUGAGGUGCGAAAGCUAGGGGAGCGAACGGGAUUAGAUA